GGCGUAGCCGAUGGACAACAGGUUAAUAUUCCUGUACUUUCUAUGAAUGUGAUGGAGUGACGGGGGAGGAUAGUACUACCACUUAUUGGAUUGUGGGGUAAAUAAUGACUGGGUCGUGCAGGCAAAUCCACACGGCGUAACCGGGAGUUAUGAUGCAUAGUGAAAUGGCGACAAAGUAGCGAAUUGGAUGAUUCCAUACCUCUUAAAAAAGCUUCUAACUUAAGUUCAUGGAAACCCGUACCGAGAACGGACACACGUCCCCAAGAUGAGUAUUCUAAGGCGAGCGAGAAAACUAUUGUCAAGGAACUCUGCAAAUUCAUCCCGUAAGUUCGCAAGAAGGGAUGCCCACCCUAAAAAGUGGGCCGCAGUGAAUAGUAAGGGGGAACUGUUUAUCAAAAACACAGCUCUAUGCUAAAUCGUAAGAUGAUGUAUAUGGGGUGACUCCUGCCCAGUGCCCGAAGGUUAAGCAAAGGUGUUAGCUUAUGCGAAGCAUUGAUGUGAAGCCCGGGUGAACGGCGGCCGUAACUAUAACGGUCCUAAGGUAGCGAAAUUCCUUGUCGGCUAAAUACUGACCUGCACGAAAGGAGUAAUUAUCUCUUAACUGUCUCGACAAUAGACUCGGUGAAAUUAUGGUUCCGGCGAAGACGCCGGAGACCCGCAUCUAGACGAAAAGACCCCGUGGAGCUUUACUAUAACUUCAUAUUGGAGUUUGAUUUAACAUGUGUAGGAUAGGUGGGAGACUGUGAUGCUUGGACGCUAGUCUAAGUGGAGUCGCCGUUGAAAUACCACCCUUGUUACGUUGAACUUCUAACUUGUACCCGUCAUCCGGGUAGAGGACAGUGUGUGGUGGGUAGUUUGACUGGGGCGGUCGCCUCCUAAAGGGUAACGGAGGCGUUCAAAGUUACACUCAAUACGGUCAGAAACCGUAUCUUAGAGCAUAAAGGUAGAAGUGUGAUUGACUGCGAGACCUACAAGUCGAGCAGGUGCGAAAGCAGGACUUAGUGAUCCGGCGGUUCUUCGUGGAAAGGCCGUCGCUCAACGGAUAAAAGCUACCCCGGGGAUAACAGGCUUAUCUUUCCCAAGAGAUCACAUCGACGGGAAGGUUUGGCACCUCGAUGUCGGCUCAUCGCAUCCUGGAGCUGGAGUCGGUUCCAAGGGUUGGGCUGUUCGCCCAUUAAAGCGGUACGCGAGCUGGGUUCAAAACGUCGUGAGACAGUUUGGUUCCUAUCUGAUGUGGGCGUUGGAAUAUUGAUGAGAGCUACUCUUAGUACGAGAGGACCGGAGUGGACGCACCGAUGGUGUGCCAGUUGUUUCGCCAGAAGCAUAGCUGGGUAGCCAAGUGCGGCAGGGAUAACCGCUGAAAGCAUCUAAGCGGGAAGCCCCCUCAAAGAUGAGUAUUCCCUUUUAAAUUCCUUAUAGACUAUGAGGUUGAUAGGCUGGAGGUGUAAGUGCAGUAAUGCAUUCAGCUGACCAGUACUAAUAAAUUGAUAGGUUUAAUA
This 1499-nucleotide ribosomal RNA is filed under the name Metamycoplasma spumans ATCC 19526. RNAcentral describes it as "bacterial LSU rRNA". It matches the Rfam family "Bacterial large subunit ribosomal RNA", at positions 1408 to 2925 of the family's 2925-position model. Lineage: Bacteria; Bacillati; Mycoplasmatota; Mycoplasmoidales; Metamycoplasmataceae. The record is from RNAcentral.